Long non-coding RNA from Rosa chinensis, 560 nucleotides. RefSeq lists it as uncharacterized. The record is from RefSeq and is a predicted model, not a curated record. NCBI's taxonomy places the organism in Eukaryota, Viridiplantae, Streptophyta, Magnoliopsida, Rosales, Rosaceae. The transcript is spliced from 3 exons.
UCUUGUCCUGCUUCUAUUCCCGGUACUUACUAUUGAUAAUUCCUUUAAUUUCCUAUAAGGUUGGUUGUAUAUAUUUAGAGUGGUAGGUAGAUAACCUGAUAUGUUUAUAUUUCUUAUGUAGUUCCCAUCUUUGGAGAAUGUUUCUGUUUCAGAUUUUGAUUGAUAUGCUAUUGAUGCAUUUAUAUGUAUUUGCUAUAUGAUUUGGCAGUAGUGGUAUCAUGUGCAGUGACCACGCUGGGUAGUUUGAGGUGGUAGUGAUUUGACAGCGACAACCAUUGAUAAAGCACUUGGGUUGCGAGAAAUUCAGGUCUUGCAUCCACAGUCCAUGAGAUUGGCUAGAGAAGAUGAUAUUCCUGUGAGGGUUAAAAAAAUUUACAACCCUAAAGCUCCAGGGUCUAGACUGUAUUUAUUUAUCAGUCUUAACUGCAGGCUAUACUAACAAGCAUCAUAUUGAAAAGGAAUGUGACCAUGUUGGAUAUUAUUAGCACUUGCAUGCUUGGACGAUAUGGUUUUCUUGCUGAGGUGAGCAAGCAAAGUACUUGUUUCUAUUGAUUUUUCCU